UACGAAGGGGGCUAGCGUUGCUCGGAAUUACUGGGCGUAAAGCGCACGUAGGCGGCUUCUUAAGUCGGUGGUGGAAUCCUGGAGCUCAACUCCAGAACUGCCUUCGAUACUGGGAAGCUCGAGUCCGGGAGAGGUGAGUGGAACUGCGAGUGUAGAGGUGAAAUUCGUAGAUAUUCGCAAGAACACCAGUGGCGAAGGCGGCUCACCGGCCCGGUACUGACGCUGAGGUGCGAAAGCGUGGGGAGCAAACAGG
This 253-nucleotide ribosomal RNA is filed under the name uncultured bacterium. RNAcentral's name for it is "partial 16S ribosomal RNA". It matches the Rfam family "Bacterial small subunit ribosomal RNA", at positions 524 to 776 of the family's 1533-position model. The record is from RNAcentral.